This 254-nucleotide ribosomal RNA is filed under the name uncultured Oscillospiraceae bacterium. RNAcentral describes it as "partial 16S ribosomal RNA". It matches the Rfam family "Bacterial small subunit ribosomal RNA", at positions 524 to 776 of the family's 1533-position model. Lineage: Bacteria; Bacillati; Bacillota; Clostridia; Eubacteriales; Oscillospiraceae. The record is from RNAcentral.
UACGUAGGUUGCAAGCGUUGUCCGGAUUUACUGGGUGUAAAGGGCGUGUAGGCGGAGAUACAAGUCAGAAGUGAAAUCCCGGGGCUCAACCCCGGAACUGCUUUUGAAACUGUAUCCCCUUGAGUAUCGGAGAGGCAGGCGGAAUUCCUAGUGUAGCGGUGAAAUGCGUAGAUAUUAGGAGGAACACCAGUGGCGAAGGCGGCCUGCUGGACGACAACUGACGCUGAGGCGCGAAAGCGUGGGGAGCAAACAGG